Tupaia belangeri (northern tree shrew) is the source of this 75-nucleotide non-coding RNA. The record is from Ensembl. Lineage: Eukaryota; Metazoa; Chordata; Mammalia; Scandentia; Tupaiidae.
GUUAAGGUGGCAGAGCCCGGUCAUUGCCUAAAACUUAAGAUUUUAAGUACAGAAGUUCAAAUCCUCUCCUUAACA